Molecule: ribosomal RNA, 342 nt
Filed under: uncultured Anoxybacillus sp.
Lineage: Bacteria; Bacillati; Bacillota; Bacilli; Caryophanales; Anoxybacillaceae
Description: bacterial SSU rRNA
Rfam family: Bacterial small subunit ribosomal RNA
Source: RNAcentral
UGCAUGGUUGUCGUCAGCUCGGUGUCGUGAGAUGUUGGGUUAAGUCCCGGCAACGAGCGCAACCCUCGACCUUAGUUGCCAGCAUUCAGUUGGGCACUCUAAGGUGACUGCCGGCUAAAAGUCGGAGGAAGGUGGGGAUGACGUCAAAUCAUCAUGCCCCUUAUGACCUGGGCUACACACGUGCUACAAUGGGCGGUACAAAGGGUCGCGAACCCGCGAGGGGGAGCCAAUCCCAAAAAGCCGCUCUCAGUUCGGAUUGCAGGCUGCAACUCGCCUGCAUGAAGCCGGAAUCGCUAGUAAUCGCGGAUCAGCAUGCCGCGGUCGAAUACGUUCCCGGGCCUU